GACGAACGCUGGCGGCGUGCUUAACACAUGCAAGUCGAACGGAAAGGCCCCUUUGGGGGUACUCGAGUGGCGCACGGGUGAGUAACACGUGAGUAACCUGCCCUUGACUUCGGGAUAACUUCAGGAAACUGGGGCUAAUACCGGAUAGGAAUCCUUGCUGCAUGGUGGGGGUUGGAAAGCUUCGGCGGUUUUGGAUGGACUCGCGGCUUAUCAGCUUGUUGGUGGGGUAGUGGCUUACCAAGGCUUUGACGGGUAGCCGGCCUGAGAGGGCGACCGGCCACAUUGGGACUGAGAUACGGCCCAGACUCCUACGGGAGGCAGCAGUGGGGAAUAUUGCACAAUGGGCGGAAGCCUGAUGCAGCAACGCCGCGUGCGGGAUGACGGCCUUCGGGUUGUAAACCGCGUUCAGCAGGGGCGAAGCUUGUGGUGACGGUACCUGCAGAAGAAGCACCGGCUAACUACGUG
RNAcentral lists this ribosomal RNA (465 nucleotides) under uncultured bacterium. Its description in RNAcentral is "partial 16S ribosomal RNA". It matches the Rfam family "Bacterial small subunit ribosomal RNA", at positions 28 to 507 of the family's 1533-position model. The record is from RNAcentral.